This 189-nucleotide ribosomal RNA is filed under the name Triticum aestivum (bread wheat). Its description in RNAcentral is "partial small subunit ribosomal RNA". The record is from RNAcentral. Lineage: Eukaryota; Viridiplantae; Streptophyta; Magnoliopsida; Poales; Poaceae.
CUGUCCUUGGCCGGGCGGGCAAUUCUUGUUCGCUCCGUUCUCCGGGCCCUGCCAAUCUAUGCUAUGAGCGUUCUUCUUCUUCCCGCCGGCACUGUGCAAGAGAUUGAGAAACGCUGUCGAGCCUUCUUCUGGACGGGCCAAGACACGGUUACCGGGGGUAACUGCAAAGUUGCUUGGGACAUCGUGUGC